GUGCGACACGAAGUCGCUUAAUGAAGUUGUUCCCCCUGCGGGAACCACCCGUGUCACCGGGUGAAUCUAGAAGGCUGAAUAAAGAGCGCCUUCGACAAUGUAACGAGGCACCGCAAGGUGCGGGGUAUCAAUCGUGAGAGGCGUACUCUUCUGGCAGCCAUAGCCGGACAAGGGCUAGAUAAUCGGUAUGGUGAACACAUGUGAAUCUGCGCAACGAUCGUUAAAUUGAACGAGCGGAAAUGGCUAAUACGCUCGAACCAAAACGGUAAUGGAGGUGGGAAUCGCGUCUUUCUACUACGCAUUCGUGACCCAUACGCCUCCCGGUCGAUAGCAGGCACCUAAGCCGAUGUACUUCAGUAAGCGGAACGUGGAAAUCCCGUAUUACCCCCAUUGGGAAAGCAGUUUGCAAAAACUGCCCAUGGUGAUGCGGGCGAAGGAACGAGGAAAAAGCGAAUGCCAGUCUGUAAUGGGUUGGAUAGAGGUUGAAACAUUACCUCACGCGAAAGCGGGCUGACGUCCUUAUGGUCUCUCAUCACAAGAGAGUGUGUAGAACCCUUUUAAUGGAGGGAGAGCAAAUGAACGCAGCAGUAUCAGCGUGUGCGCCUUCCAGCACAUCGUGGGACAGCAUCGAUUGGAUUGCUGUACAGCGUCAUGUCAGAGGGCUGCAAGCGCGUAUUGUGAAGGCGGUACAAGACGGCAGGUAUAACAAGGCGAAAGCUUUGCAAUGGCUGCUGACUCACUCGUUUAGUGGCAAAGCAUUGGCCGUAAAACGAGUGUCUGAAAACAAAGGCAAAAACACGGCUGGGGUCGACAAGGUGACUUGGAAUACACCCAAGGCCAAGACCGGUGCGAUGAUGUCGUUGAAGAGGCGAGGUUACACGCCCCUUCCGCUUCGGAGAGUCCUUAUUCCGAAGAAAAAUGGCAAGAUGAGACCUCUCGGGAUACCCACGAUGAAAUGCCGGGCCAUGCAGGCGCUCCAUCUGCUGGCUUUGGAACCCAUCGCGGAGACCACUGCUGAUCGGAACUCUUAUGGAUUCAGGGCUUUGUUGCACAAAGAUUUCAUAACUAUAUGA
Molecule: non-coding RNA, 1073 nt
Filed under: Acinetobacter sp.
Lineage: Bacteria; Pseudomonadati; Pseudomonadota; Gammaproteobacteria; Moraxellales; Moraxellaceae
Source: RNAcentral